This 168-nucleotide ribosomal RNA is filed under the name Chrysactinium acaule. Its description in RNAcentral is "5.8S ribosomal RNA". It matches the Rfam family "5.8S ribosomal RNA". Rfam says of the family: 5.8S ribosomal RNA (5.8S rRNA) is a component of the large subunit of the eukaryotic ribosome. It is transcribed by RNA polymerase I as part of the 45S precursor that also contains 18S and 28S rRNA. Functionally, it is thought that 5.8S rRNA may be involved in ribosome translocation. Lineage: Eukaryota; Viridiplantae; Streptophyta; Magnoliopsida; Asterales; Asteraceae. The record is from RNAcentral.
ACUCUCGGCAACGGAUAUCUCGGCUCACGCAUCGAUGAAGAACGUAGCAAAAUGCGAUACUUGGUGUGAAUUGCAGAAUCCCGUGAACCAUCGAGUUUUUGAACGCAAGUUGCGCCCGAAGCCAUUCGGCCGAGGGCACGUCUGCCUGGGCGUCACACAUCGUGUCGC